This 173-nucleotide unclassified non-coding RNA is filed under the name uncultured fungus. RNAcentral describes it as "sequence contains ITS1". The record is from RNAcentral. Lineage: Eukaryota; Fungi.
GUGAGCUGAUUGCAAGCUCGCAAGUCGGACCUGGGUCUUCUGACGCCCACCGUCGGUAUCGGGUAUUCGUUCACGCCUCGAAUCGCUCCCCGAUCGGCGUGACCUCUGGUAUAUCGCCGCUGGUAAUGACGGCUCGGCUGAGCGGGACGACCGAAUCGAUCAACUGUUGUAGG